This 444-nucleotide ribosomal RNA is filed under the name uncultured bacterium. RNAcentral describes it as "bacterial SSU rRNA". It matches the Rfam family "Bacterial small subunit ribosomal RNA", at positions 30 to 471 of the family's 1533-position model. The record is from RNAcentral.
AUUGAACGCUGGCGGAAUGCUUUACACAUGCAAGUCGAGCGGCAGCGCGGGGCAACCUGGCGGCGAGCGGCGAACGGGUGAGUAAUACAUCGGAACGUGCCCAGACGUGGGGGGAUAACUACUCGAAAGAGUGGCUAAUACCGCAUACGAUCUACGGAUGAAAGCGGGGGAUCGCAAGACCUCGCGCGUCUGGAGCGGCUGAUGGCAGAUUAGGUAGUUGGUGGGAUAAAAGCUACCAAGCCAACGAUCUGUAGCUGGUCUGAGAGGAUGAUCAGCCACACUGGGACUGAGACACGGCCCAGACUCCUACGGAGGCAGCAGUGGGAAUUUGGAACAAUGGGCGAAAGCCUGAUCCAGCCAUUCCGCGUGCAGGAUGAAGGCCUCGGUUGUAAACUGCUUUUGUACAGAACGAAAAAGACUCUGGCUAAUACCUAGGAGUCCAAU